RNAcentral lists this long non-coding RNA (354 nucleotides) under Salvia miltiorrhiza (redroot sage). Its description in RNAcentral is "long non-coding RNA (SMIL_LNC000612)". Lineage: Eukaryota; Viridiplantae; Streptophyta; Magnoliopsida; Lamiales; Lamiaceae. The record is from RNAcentral.
GCUUGCAGAGUCUAUUUCUCUAAAAUCAAGCGACGGAUUUUCCAAAAUGCUCUCCUUUGAAGUUGAAUUAGAACCAGUAAUGCAGCUGCAGGCAGCUUCAUGGUUGUCCAUACACCAUUGAAAGGUAUCAUCCAUUUGAACACGUUCUUCUCUGUUCUUCAACCAGGGAUUGAAGCCAAACUUCUCCGAAUCACAUGCUAAAUCAAUUUGCUGAUCCUCCCAGCUUCCACUUUCCGCAGAUGACCUUGAGGCCAGAUAAUGCAGUUUAUGGAAAUGGUUCUCAGGAAAAGAUCCCCCAUUACUGUGGCUUAGCACAUAAUCUUGUCUGCCGUUCCUUGAAUGUGAGUAAGGUGU